AGCCUUAGGAAAUAAUCUAAGGUUAUACCUGCCCAAUGUGAAAAUUUUAAUGAAUGGCCGCGGUACUUUGACCGUGCUAAGGUAGCGCAAUCAAUUGGUUUUUAAUUGGAGCCAGGAAUGAAUGGAGUUACGGGGUUUAACUGUCUCUUAUUUAAUUUAUCGAAAUUACUAUAUAGGUGAAAAAGCCUAUAGCUAGAAAAAAGACGAGAAGACCCUUAGAGUUUUACUAAAAUUGAGUUAAUUUCUCAUAACAGUUUAGUUGGGGCAACGUAGGAGCAUUGAAAGUUAAUCUCCUUAAAAUAAUUUAUCGAUUAUUUUAGUAUUGAAUAAACUACCUUAGGGAUAACAGCAUAAUUUUAUUAAUAAGUUUGUGACCUCGAUGUUGGACUGGGAAACUUAAUGGUUAGCCGCCUUUAAGGUAAGUUCUGUUCGAACUAUAAUUCCC
RNAcentral lists this ribosomal RNA (445 nucleotides) under Polycera hedgpethi. RNAcentral describes it as "partial 16S ribosomal RNA". It matches the Rfam family "Archaeal large subunit ribosomal RNA", at positions 1909 to 2665 of the family's 2987-position model. The record is from RNAcentral. Lineage: Eukaryota; Metazoa; Mollusca; Gastropoda; Nudibranchia; Polyceridae.